This 278-nucleotide long non-coding RNA is filed under the name Ananas comosus (pineapple). Its description in RNAcentral is "long non-coding RNA (ACOM_LNC012820)". The record is from RNAcentral. Lineage: Eukaryota; Viridiplantae; Streptophyta; Magnoliopsida; Poales; Bromeliaceae.
UUAAGUACGCAAAUAGUAAACACAUUUAACUUCCUGAACUAGGCUACUAUACUAUUAGUAGCACCAAAUCAUUGGUGCUAUUAGGUUUUUAGCUCUUGGAUUUAAAAGAUAUACGGUUAGAAUGAUAGUGAUAUCUUAAGAUUGAGUGGAUGGCUGGCUAAAAAGUAUGAUCUAACGGGUGAAAAUAGUUAAAAGGUUAAAUCUAACAGUUGAAAACUUGGUGCUAUUGAUAGUAUAGUAGCUAGACUCUAAAUUUUAAAGAGGUAUAGCAUUAAUCA